RNAcentral lists this long non-coding RNA (482 nucleotides) under Setaria italica (foxtail millet). Its description in RNAcentral is "long non-coding RNA (SITA_LNC000646)". The record is from RNAcentral. Lineage: Eukaryota; Viridiplantae; Streptophyta; Magnoliopsida; Poales; Poaceae.
AUUUUUAGAAGCUAUUGUAUUUGAAAAUUAUUUAAAAGUUAAACUCUUAGCUAAUGAUCAAAAUUGUUUACCUACUACUCUCUUAUUUUUUCAAUACUUCAACAUAAUACUUAUAUAGGUAUGUACCUAUCUUUAUUCAGUUGUGAUUAAUUUUUAAUUAAUAAUUACUCUAUGCAAUCACUUUAUAUGUUUAAUUUAGCAUAGAAAUCUAUAUUCCCAUCACUUUAUAUCUUUAAUUAUAAAUGGUAACACACAUCAUGCGUAUAGAUCUUAAUUAUUAUAUCAUAUACCAAUAGUGCAAGAUAUAGAUAAUUUAGAAUCAUAUAUUGUUGUACAUUACGUAGGGUUAUUACCUCAUGUUAUUUUUAAUAAUAGCAUGUGUGGGUAAUAUAGAUGCAAAUUUAAAGGGUUACUUUAAGUUUUUUAAGUAAUAGUGGUAGGCAAUUCAAUCGCAAAUUAGGGGUUUAUUUUAAAUAUUUUUU